This 372-nucleotide long non-coding RNA is filed under the name Hordeum vulgare. Its description in RNAcentral is "long non-coding RNA (HVUL_LNC020169)". Lineage: Eukaryota; Viridiplantae; Streptophyta; Magnoliopsida; Poales; Poaceae. The record is from RNAcentral.
CCCAUGGAUGCACCAUCUACCCCUCGCUAUUCCUCUGUGCAUUCCAAGUAUGACUGAUUUCUUGUCUUGGAGUAAAGAGAAGAAAGGGGUCUUCAAUGUUGGGUCUUCCUACAUGAUGCUACUCCAAGCAGAGUUUGGUAGCGAUAUAUUGUUAGAGAUAUAUUUAGUAUACAUAUAUCUCCAAGCAGUACUUCAAACAGAGUUUAGGAUAGGAGGCUAGCUUGAGGAAAUUUCAGGAUCCUCAAGCAAUGGUAUUCCUUCUUUUCUAAAAAAGAAAACUUUGUGGCUUUCUCACUAUGGCCAACAUGGUCUGCUAGGAGAUAAGCUAUCCACGAAUCGGAAUUUCAAUCUCCACUCUCGACUCACUUGUUC